CCUACGGGAGGCAGCAGUGGGGAAUAUUGGGCAAUGGGCGCUAGCCUGACCCAGCAACGCCGCGUGAAGGAAGACUGCUUUCUGGUUUUAAACUUCUUUUAUUGUGGGCGAAACAUAUGACGGUUCUCCUUCACUACACCACGGCUAACUACGUGCCAGCAGCCGCGGUACUACGGAGGUGGCAAUCUUUAUCCGGAUUUACGGGGUUUAAGGGGCGUGUAGGCGGGAAUGCAAGUCAGAUGUGAACGCCAUCGGCUCAACCCAUGGAUUGCAUUUGAAACUGGAGUUCUUGAGUGAAGGAGAGGCAGGCGGAAUUCGGGGUGUAGCGGUGAAAUGCGUAGAUAUACGGAGGAACACCAGUGGCGAAGGCAGCCUGCUGGACAGUAACUGACGCUGAGGCGCGAAAGCGUGGGGAGCAAACAGGAUUAGAUACCCUGGUAGUC
This 443-nucleotide ribosomal RNA is filed under the name uncultured bacterium. Its description in RNAcentral is "partial 16S ribosomal RNA". It matches the Rfam family "Bacterial small subunit ribosomal RNA", at positions 338 to 795 of the family's 1533-position model. The record is from RNAcentral.